AUGCUGCUCCAAAAUCUGCUAUGGACAAUUGUCAUCUCUAUUUUAUUUGGAAUAAGCACAGCUCAGAAGGUCACUCAAGAGCAAUCGACAAUGUCUGGACAGGAAGGGAAGACUGUGACUCUGAACUGCAAGUAUGAAACCAGUGAACCUAGUUAUGCUUUGUUCUGGUACAAACAGUAUCUCUCUGGAAAAAUGAUUCUUCUUAUUCGUCAGGAUUCUUAUAGCCAAGAGAACAUGUGGAAGGGCCGCUAUUCAGUGAACUUCCAGAAAGUCGAGAAGUACAUCAAUCUCACCAUCUCAUCCUCUCAGCUAGGGGACUCAGCAAUGUAUUUUUGUGCCUUCAGCAUACCCACAGCGAUGGGAGUGACAAGAAGGGCCAAUACAAAAACACUGGUGUUGUGCAGGUCUCUCCCACCUGCAGCACAAGCCCAAGACUGA
This is a non-coding RNA of Trichosurus vulpecula (common brushtail), 438 nucleotides long. The record is from the annotation of a RefSeq genome assembly. NCBI's taxonomy places the organism in Eukaryota, Metazoa, Chordata, Mammalia, Diprotodontia, Phalangeridae.